GAUGAACGCUGGCGGCGUGCCUAAUACAUGCAAGUCGAGCGAACAGACGAGGAGCUUGCUCCUCUGACGUUAGCGGCGGACGGGUGAGUAACACGUGGAUAACCUACCUAUAAGACUGGGAUAACUUCGGGAAACCGGAGCUAAUACCGGAUAAUAUAUUGAACCGCAUGGUUCAAUAGUGAAAGACGGUUUUGCUGUCACUUAUAGAUGGAUCCGCGCCGCAUUAGCUAGUUGGUAAGGUAACGGCUUACCAAGGCAACGAUGCGUAGCCGACCUGGGAGGGUGACCGCCCACCCUGAACUGGGGCCCGGGUCCAACCCCCCAGGGGGGCCGCCAUUGGGAACUUUCCCGCAAGGGGGAAAACCCUAACGGGCCAACCCCCGUGAGGGAAUAAAGUUUUUCGAUCUUAAAACCCUUUUUUUUAGGGAAAAAAAAUUGUUAAAUAACUCUUCCCCUCUUUGCCGUUCCCAAUUCGAAAACCCCCGCCAAACUACUU
Molecule: ribosomal RNA, 496 nt
Filed under: uncultured bacterium
Lineage: Bacteria
Description: partial 16S ribosomal RNA
Rfam family: Bacterial small subunit ribosomal RNA
Source: RNAcentral